AUUGAACGCUGGCGGCAUGCUUUACACAUGCAAGUCGAACGGUAACAGGCCGCAAGGUGCUGACGAGUGGCGAACGGGUGAGUAAUGCAUCGGAACGUGCCCAGUCGUGGGGGAUAACUACUCGAAAGAGUAGCUAAUACCGCAUACGAUCUAUGGAUGAAAGCGGGGGACCGUAAGGCCUCGCGCGAUUGGGGCGGCCGAUGUCAGAUUAGGUAGUUGGUGGGGUAAAGGCUCACCAAGCCAACGAUCUGUAGCUGGUCUGAGAGGACGACCAGCGACACUGGGACUGAGACACGGCCCAGACUCCUACGGGAGGCAGCAGUGGGGAAUUUUGGACAAUGGGCGCAAGCCUGAUCCAGCAAUGCCGCGUGCAGGAAGAAGGCCUUCGGGUUGUAAACUGCUUUUGUACGGAACGAAACGGCUCUGGUUAAUACCCGGGGCUAAUGACGGUACCGUAAGAAUAAGCACCGGCUAACUACGUG
This 482-nucleotide ribosomal RNA is filed under the name uncultured bacterium. Its description in RNAcentral is "partial 16S ribosomal RNA". It matches the Rfam family "Bacterial small subunit ribosomal RNA", at positions 30 to 507 of the family's 1533-position model. The record is from RNAcentral.